Molecule: long non-coding RNA, 100 nt
Organism: Drosophila ananassae
Lineage: Eukaryota; Metazoa; Arthropoda; Insecta; Diptera; Drosophilidae
Exons: 2
Source: RefSeq, a predicted model, not a curated record
GCUUUCCAUGCCACACUCAAGCAGUAGAGCGAACUGUUAAGUUUGUUACUGAAGCGUCGAAGAAGUUUGCCUAAAUUUGAGAACAAGUCCCAGUAUACAA